AUGGGGCAUUUUUCUUCAGAUUGUCCUGAGCCCAAGAGAGAGCGAGCUCACCUUGCUGCUAAUGAUGAAGAGGAUGAGCCUGGGCUGCUGAUGGCCGAAGUGUGUGACGUGGUCAUCGCCUCUGAUAAGGGUGGCGAGCAGGUCCUGUUGAAUGAAGAGAGGGUGAUCCCGAAGCUGACCGGUGAACAAAAUCUGAGUUGGUACCUGGAUACUGGAGCUAGUAACCAUAUGACUGGGUCCAUCAGCAAGUUUGCGGAGUUGGAUGAAUCUGUGAAAGGUACUGUACGUUUUGGUGAUGGUUCCAAAGUUGAAAUUUGUGGGAGAGGUUCAGUACUAAUGGAAACUCAGAGCGGAGAGCACCGUGUCCUAACCGAGGUUUAUUACAUUCCUCGGCUGAAAAGCAACAUCAUUAGUUUGGGUCAGCUAGAUGAGAUAGGCUGCAAGUACUCAGCUGAAGAUGGAGUCAUGGUGGUACUGGAUCAGCAGAGAAAAUUGUUUGCAAGAGUUAAACAUGCAAAUAACAGAUUAUACAUUCUUGACAUACAGCCGGCACAACCGGUUUGUUUGCUCUCUCGUCAAGAUGACGAGGCAUGGCGAUGGCACGCUCGAUAUGGUCAUGUAAAUUUUCAUGCACUGAAAAAGAUGGGAAGAGAAGGUAUGGUAAAGGGCCUACCAAUGCUCGAUCAGGUUCAUCAAGUAUGUGAUGGUUGUAUGCUAGGGAAGCAACACCGAAACCCUUUUCCCCGUCAAGCUCGUUUUCGUGCAGAGGAUAAAUUGCAGCUGGUGCAUGGUUAA
RNAcentral lists this ribosomal RNA (795 nucleotides) under Triticum aestivum (bread wheat). RNAcentral's name for it is "partial small subunit ribosomal RNA". Lineage: Eukaryota; Viridiplantae; Streptophyta; Magnoliopsida; Poales; Poaceae. The record is from RNAcentral.